UACGAUGGGGGCUAGCGUUGUUCGGAAUCACUGGGCGUAAAGCGCACGUAGGCGGAUUGUUAAGUGAGGGGUGAAAUCCCGGGGCUCAACCCCGGAACUGCCUUUCAUACUGGCAGUCUUGAGUUCGAGAGAGGUAAGUGGAAUUCCGAGUGUAGAGGUGAAAUUCGUAGAUAUUCGGAGGAACACCAGUGGCGAAGGCGGCUCACUGGCACGAUACUGACGCUGAGGUGCGAAAGCGUGGGGAGCAAACAGG
This 253-nucleotide ribosomal RNA is filed under the name uncultured bacterium. RNAcentral describes it as "partial 16S ribosomal RNA". It matches the Rfam family "Bacterial small subunit ribosomal RNA", at positions 524 to 776 of the family's 1533-position model. The record is from RNAcentral.